UUGGGCACUCUAAAGUGACUGCCGGUGCAAGCCGGAGGAAGGUGGGGAUGACGUCAAAUCAUCAUGCCCCUUAUGACCUGGGCUACACACGUGCUACAAUGGAUAGUACAAAGGGUCGCGAAGCCGCGAGGUGGAGCUAAUCCCAUAAAACUAUUCUCAGUUCGGAUUGUAGGCUGCAACUCGCCUACAUGAAGCCGGAAUCGCUAGUAAUCGUGGAUCAGCAUGCCACGGUGAAUACGUUCCCGG
This 246-nucleotide ribosomal RNA is filed under the name Escherichia coli. Its description in RNAcentral is "partial 16S ribosomal RNA". It matches the Rfam family "Bacterial small subunit ribosomal RNA", at positions 1131 to 1377 of the family's 1533-position model. Lineage: Bacteria; Pseudomonadati; Pseudomonadota; Gammaproteobacteria; Enterobacterales; Enterobacteriaceae. The record is from RNAcentral.